UUCAUCUAAUUGUCUUGCACC
RNAcentral lists this non-coding RNA (21 nucleotides) under Caenorhabditis elegans. The record is from RNAcentral. Lineage: Eukaryota; Metazoa; Nematoda; Chromadorea; Rhabditida; Rhabditidae.